This 67-nucleotide transfer RNA is filed under the name bovine gut metagenome. It matches the Rfam family "tRNA". Rfam says of the family: Transfer RNA (tRNA) molecules are approximately 80 nucleotides in length. Their secondary structure includes four short double-helical elements and three loops (D, anti-codon, and T loops). Further hydrogen bonds mediate the characteristic L-shaped molecular structure. tRNAs have two regions of fundamental functional importance: the anti-codon, which is responsible for specific mRNA codon recognition, and the 3' end, to which the tRNAs corresponding amino acid is attached (by aminoacyl-tRNA synthetases). tRNAs cope with the degeneracy of the genetic code in two manners: having more than one tRNA (with a specific anti-codon) for a particular amino acid; and 'wobble' base-pairing, i.e. permitting non-standard base-pairing at the 3rd anti-codon position. The record is from RNAcentral.
CGACUUAGCUCAGCUGGUAGAGCAACGGUUUUGUAAACCGUAGGUCGUCGGUUCAAGCCCGACAGUC